Molecule: transfer RNA, 71 nt
Filed under: Marmota monax (woodchuck)
Lineage: Eukaryota; Metazoa; Chordata; Mammalia; Rodentia; Sciuridae
Description: tRNA.Ala
Rfam family: tRNA
About the family: Transfer RNA (tRNA) molecules are approximately 80 nucleotides in length. Their secondary structure includes four short double-helical elements and three loops (D, anti-codon, and T loops). Further hydrogen bonds mediate the characteristic L-shaped molecular structure. tRNAs have two regions of fundamental functional importance: the anti-codon, which is responsible for specific mRNA codon recognition, and the 3' end, to which the tRNAs corresponding amino acid is attached (by aminoacyl-tRNA synthetases). tRNAs cope with the degeneracy of the genetic code in two manners: having more than one tRNA (with a specific anti-codon) for a particular amino acid; and 'wobble' base-pairing, i.e. permitting non-standard base-pairing at the 3rd anti-codon position.
Source: RNAcentral
GGGGUUGUAGCUCAGUGGUAGAGCGCUUGCCUAGCAUGUAUGAGGCCUUGGGUUCGAUUCCUAACACCACA